Molecule: ribosomal RNA, 2924 nt
Filed under: Escherichia coli
Lineage: Bacteria; Pseudomonadati; Pseudomonadota; Gammaproteobacteria; Enterobacterales; Enterobacteriaceae
Description: bacterial LSU rRNA
Rfam family: Bacterial large subunit ribosomal RNA
Source: RNAcentral
GGGUUGUGAGGUUAAGCGACUAAGCGUACACGGUGGAUGCCCUGGCAGUCAGAGGCGAUGAAGGACGUGCUAAUCUGCGAUAAGCGUCGGUAAGGUGAUAUGAACCGUUAUAACCGGCGAUUUCCGAAUGGGGAAACCCAGUGUGUUUCGACACACUAUCAUUAACUGAAUCCAUAGGUUAAUGAGGCGAACCGGGGGAACUGAAACAUCUAAGUACCCCGAGGAAAAGAAAUCAACCGAGAUUCCCCCAGUAGCGGCGAGCGAACGGGGAGCAGCCCAGAGCCUGAAUCAGUGUGUGUGUUAGUGGAAGCGUCUGGAAAGGCGCGCGAUACAGGGUGACAGCCCCGUACACAAAAAUGCACAUACUGUGAGCUCGAUGAGUAGGGCGGGACACGUGGUAUCCUGUCUGAAUAUGGGGGGACCAUCCUCCAAGGCUAAAUACUCCUGACUGACCGAUAGUGAACCAGUACCGUGAGGGAAAGGCGAAAAGAACCCCGGCGAGGGGAGUGAAAAAGAACCUGAAACCGUGUACGUACAAGCAGUGGGAGCACGCUUAGGCGUGUGACUGCGUACCUUUUGUAUAAUGGGUCAGCGACUUAUAUUCUGUAGCAAGGUUAACCGAAUAGGGGAGCCGAAGGGAAACCGAGUCUUAACUGGGCGUUAAGUUGCAGGGUAUAGACCCGAAACCCGGUGAUCUAGCCAUGGGCAGGUUGAAGGUUGGGUAACACUAACUGGAGGACCGAACCGACUAAUGUUGAAAAAUUAGCGGAUGACUUGUGGCUGGGGGUGAAAGGCCAAUCAAACCGGGAGAUAGCUGGUUCUCCCCGAAAGCUAUUUAGGUAGCGCCUCGUGAAUUCAUCUCCGGGGGUAGAGCACUGUUUCGGCAAGGGGGUCAUCCCGACUUACCAACCCGAUGCAAACUGCGAAUACCGGAGAAUGUUAUCACGGGAGACACACGGCGGGUGCUAACGUCCGUCGUGAAGAGGGAAACAACCCAGACCGCCAGCUAAGGUCCCAAAGUCAUGGUUAAGUGGGAAACGAUGUGGGAAGGCCCAGACAGCCAGGAUGUUGGCUUAGAAGCAGCCAUCAUUUAAAGAAAGCGUAAUAGCUCACUGGUCGAGUCGGCCUGCGCGGAAGAUGUAACGGGGCUAAACCAUGCACCGAAGCUGCGGCAGCGACACUAUGUGUUGUUGGGUAGGGGAGCGUUCUGUAAGCCUGUGAAGGUGUGCUGUGAGGCAUGCUGGAGGUAUCAGAAGUGCGAAUGCUGACAUAAGUAACGAUAAAGCGGGUGAAAAGCCCGCUCGCCGGAAGACCAAGGGUUCCUGUCCAACGUUAAUCGGGGCAGGGUGAGUCGACCCCUAAGGCGAGGCCGAAAGGCGUAGUCGAUGGGAAACAGGUUAAUAUUCCUGUACUUGGUGUUACUGCGAAGGGGGGACGGAGAAGGCUAUGUUGGCCGGGCGACGGUUGUCCCGGUUUAAGCGUGUAGGCUGGUUUUCCAGGCAAAUCCGGAAAAUCAAGGCUGAGGCGUGAUGACGAGGCACUACGGUGCUGAAGCAACAAAUGCCCUGCUUCCAGGAAAAGCCUCUAAGCAUCAGGUAACAUCAAAUCGUACCCCAAACCGACACAGGUGGUCAGGUAGAGAAUACCAAGGCGCUUGAGAGAACUCGGGUGAAGGAACUAGGCAAAAUGGUGCCGUAACUUCGGGAGAAGGCACGCUGAUAUGUAGGUGAAGUCCCUCGCGGAUGGAGCUGAAAUCAGUCGAAGAUACCAGCUGGCUGCAACUGUUUAUUAAAAACACAGCACUGUGCAAACACGAAAGUGGACGUAUACGGUGUGACGCCUGCCCGGUGCCGGAAGGUUAAUUGAUGGGGUCAGCGCAAGCGAAGCUCUUGAUCGAAGCCCCGGUAAACGGCGGCCGUAACUAUAACGGUCCUAAGGUAGCGAAAUUCCUUGUCGGGUAAGUUCCGACCUGCACGAAUGGCGUAAUGAUGGCCAGGCUGUCUCCACCCGAGACUCAGUGAAAUUGAACUCGCUGUGAAGAUGCAGUGUACCCGCGGCAAGACGGAAAGACCCCGUGAACCUUUACUAUAGCUUGACACUGAACAUUGAGCCUUGAUGUGUAGGAUAGGUGGGAGGCUUUGAAGUGUGGACGCCAGUCUGCAUGGAGCCGACCUUGAAAUACCACCCUUUAAUGUUUGAUGUUCUAACGUUGACCCGUAAUCCGGGUUGCGGACAGUGUCUGGUGGGUAGUUUGACUGGGGCGGUCUCCUCCUAAAGAGUAACGGAGGAGCACGAAGGUUGGCUAAUCCUGGUCGGACAUCAGGAGGUUAGUGCAAUGGCAUAAGCCAGCUUGACUGCGAGCGUGACGGCGCGAGCAGGUGCGAAAGCAGGUCAUAGUGAUCCGGUGGUUCUGAAUGGAAGGGCCAUCGCUCAACGGAUAAAAGGUACUCCGGGGAUAACAGGCUGAUACCGCCCAAGAGUUCAUAUCGACGGCGGUGUUUGGCACCUCGAUGUCGGCUCAUCACAUCCUGGGGCUGAAGUAGGUCCCAAGGGUAUGGCUGUUCGCCAUUUAAAGUGGUACGCGAGCUGGGUUUAGAACGUCGUGAGACAGUUCGGUCCCUAUCUGCCGUGGGCGCUGGAGAACUGAGGGGGGCUGCUCCUAGUACGAGAGGACCGGAGUGGACGCAUCACUGGUGUUCGGGUUGUCAUGCCAAUGGCACUGCCCGGUAGCUAAAUGCGGAAGAGAUAAGUGCUGAAAGCAUCUAAGCACGAAACUUGCCCCGAGAUGAGUUCUCCCUGACUCCUUGAGAGUCCUGAAGGAACGUUGAAGACGACGACGUUGAUAGGCCGGGUGUGUAAGCGCAGCGAUGCGUUGAGCUAACCGGUACUAAUGAACCGUGAGGCUUAACCUUACAACGCCGAAG